RNAcentral lists this ribosomal RNA (258 nucleotides) under Pyropia dentata. Its description in RNAcentral is "Neoporphyra dentata large subunit ribosomal RNA". The stretch from base 59 to 228 matches the Rfam family "Archaeal large subunit ribosomal RNA", at positions 53 to 244 of the family's 2987-position model. The record is from RNAcentral. Lineage: Eukaryota; Rhodophyta; Bangiophyceae; Bangiales; Bangiaceae.
UUGUUCUUAAAUAUAAAUAAUUUAAAAAGUUAUCAAAGGAAAUCUUGAUAGAAAAAUAAAGACGUCGCGCGACGAAACAUCAUAGGAAGGCACUUGCUUAUGAACUAUGAGUUUCUUUAAGAAAACUUGCAUUUAAUAUGCUAAUAAACAUCUAUGCGAAUUGAAUCAUCUUAGUAGCAUAUUAAAAAAUCAAACGAGAACUUGUAAGUAACGGUGAGUGAACACGAGCUUAGCUAUACGUUGAAAUCCAAAGAAGGU